Molecule: long non-coding RNA, 535 nt
Filed under: Equus caballus (horse)
Lineage: Eukaryota; Metazoa; Chordata; Mammalia; Perissodactyla; Equidae
Description: lncRNA (ENSECAG00000055788.1)
Source: RNAcentral
UGACACCAGGCUGAUUGUUAAUCCUUUUUAGGUGAUGUACUUUUUUCUUCCUGGAAGCUUUUUGAGUCUGCUCGUUUUUAAGAAGGUCACUGUGAGGUGUGCAGGUCUUUCGCUAUUUAUCCAGGUUGUAAGCUGUUUGUGAGGAGAUGGGGAAUUUGAGGGGGGAGAAGCCUUGGGCAUAUUUGAGGAGGAAGGAGCCAGUGAAGAAGCAGAGUUUAGGGAAGCCAGGGUUCGCCGGUUUGGAUCCCGGGUGUGGACAUGGCACCGCUCAGAAGACCAUGCUGUGGCAGGCGUCCCACAUAUAAAGUGGAGGAAGAUGGGCACGGAUGUUAGCUCAAGGCCAGGCUUCUUCAGCAAAAAGAGGAGGAUUGGCGGCAGAUGUUAGCUGAGGGCUAAUCUUCCUCAAAAAAAUUUAAAAAAAUAAAUUAAAAAAAAAGAAAAAUAGUGGCAGUCCUACGAACAGGCAUGUCGUUUGCUUUUUCACCAAGGCGGACAGAUCUGAUUCACAGAUGAUUCACUUUAUUUCAGUGCCUUU